UCUAGCGUUCCUAAAAAAGAAGCCACGCAACGCCUCGUGCAGGCCUUUUCUUAGAUGGUGCUGGAAAAACCAGGCAAAAAAUUUGAAAGCACAAACGAAACGCUUCCAAAGAUUCCUUAACAUGGACAACACCCGCAAAACUAUUGGAGCAAUCAACGACAAAAAUGAUAGGCAACGUAACAGAGCAAUCAAAAUACCGAAGCGUCCAACUCUGUACCCCCCAAGCACUUGGACAAGAGGAGGGGCGGUACAAACAACAUCACCGAGCACUAUUCCAGACCGGGUCCGUUUUCUACGAUGGCAACCUGAGAACCUAGCGUCUUCCAACACGUAGGCACGAAAAACUUGUGGGGCUCAUCAGUCGGCCGCAAAAAGCGGGGGGCCUGACAUAGCACACACAACAAUCACCACUCACAUGCCGUCACGGUCACAACCCGCCAAAGACCUUUGCUUUUCCCCCACGCGCUAAAAAAA
RNAcentral lists this ribosomal RNA (474 nucleotides) under Allium dichlamydeum. RNAcentral describes it as "partial external transcribed spacer". The record is from RNAcentral. Lineage: Eukaryota; Viridiplantae; Streptophyta; Magnoliopsida; Asparagales; Amaryllidaceae.